ACAAAAACACAAACGCAGGUGAUCUCCUCAUCGUCAUGGCGCUCAAGAUCAAAGCGACUAGUAUGGGCGCUGUUCUCCUGGCUCUUAUGGUCAUGUCUAUCAUGAUUUCAUCACCUUUUGUCUACGCACAUACAAAUGAAUCGCCGGUUAACCCUGUAGUUGAUGAAGGAUCGAAUCCUGCAACAUGCUUCCAUCUGGAAAGCUGUGAAGCCCGGUGCGGAACCGUAUGUAGUGUCAGUGGCAAGCCUUCUGCUAAUUCCUACUGCAAGCAAGAUCAAUGUUGCUGCGCCUAGUUUUAUGGUUAUAUUCUUGUUCGAGCAAUAAUGUUGUAACCGUUUCUUGCAAACACAAUAUUAGUUACGAAAAAAAUUAUCAA
Lolium perenne is the source of this 376-nucleotide long non-coding RNA. RefSeq lists it as uncharacterized. The record is from RefSeq and is a predicted model, not a curated record. NCBI's taxonomy places the organism in Eukaryota, Viridiplantae, Streptophyta, Magnoliopsida, Poales, Poaceae.